GGGGCUGGCCUGAGAGUAGGGAUCAGAGAAAAAAAACGUAUAUUUUUCUCUCAUCUUUGGGAUUUUAAAUCCCCUGGUCUCCUGGAACGACAGAAGGGCUCUCCCUACAAGAUUUCCUUCUCUUCCUGCUCUGCAGUUCUUCAGUUCAGACCACACUCAGGUGAAACAAAGCCAGACAUGACUGUUCCUUUUCUUCCUGAGGUGAUUUUCUUUGUAUCUACUGGCCAGCAAUGUCUAUCAAAGGACUACUCUUAGUGCAACAUCUUGAGGUUAUUGUAGUUGUUUAACCGCCCAUGGAAAGCUCCUUACACAGAGGGAGAGACAGAACCUGAGCAGGGAAAGGGCAGAGAGAGGGAGACAC
Herpailurus yagouaroundi (jaguarundi) is the source of this 361-nucleotide long non-coding RNA. RefSeq lists it as uncharacterized. Lineage: Eukaryota; Metazoa; Chordata; Mammalia; Carnivora; Felidae. The record is from RefSeq and is a predicted model, not a curated record. The transcript has 3 exons.